Molecule: ribosomal RNA, 312 nt
Filed under: Neobacillus drentensis
Lineage: Bacteria; Bacillati; Bacillota; Bacilli; Caryophanales; Bacillaceae
Description: bacterial SSU rRNA
Rfam family: Bacterial small subunit ribosomal RNA
Source: RNAcentral
GGAUUAUUGGGCGUAAGCGCGCGCAGGCGGUCCUUUAAGUCUGAUGUGAAAGCCCACGGCCCAUCCGUGGAGGGUCAUUGGAAACUGGGGGACUUGAGUACACAUGAGGAAAGCGGAAUUCCACGUGUAGCGGUGAAAUGCGUAGAGAUGUGGAGGAACACCAGUGGCGAAGGCGGCUUUCUGGUCUGUAACUGACGCUGAGGCGCGAAAGCGUGGGGAGCAAACAGGAUUAGAUACCCUGGUAGUCCACGCCGUAAACGAUGAGUGCUAAGUGUUAGAGGGUUUCCGCCCUUUAGUGCUGAAGCUAACGCA